AGCCCUACGGGGCGCAGCAGGGAAUCUUCCACAAUGGACGAAAGUCUGAUGGAGCAACGCCGCGUGAGUGAAGAAGGGUUUCGGCUCGUAAAGCUCUGUUGGUAGUGAAGAAAGAUAGAGGGAGUAACUGGCCUUUAUUUGACGGUAAUUACUUAGAAAGUCACGGCUAACUACGUGCCAGCAGCCGCGGUAAUACGUAGGUGGCAAGCGUUGUCCGGAUUUAUUGGGCGUAAAGCGAGUGCAGGCGGUUCAAUAAGGCUGAUGUGAAAGCCUUCGGCUCAACCGGGGAAAUGCAUCAGAAACUG
Molecule: ribosomal RNA, 305 nt
Filed under: uncultured bacterium
Lineage: Bacteria
Description: bacterial SSU rRNA
Rfam family: Bacterial small subunit ribosomal RNA
Source: RNAcentral